Molecule: ribosomal RNA, 428 nt
Filed under: bacterium CBM5-21
Lineage: Bacteria; Pseudomonadati; Pseudomonadota; Betaproteobacteria
Description: bacterial SSU rRNA
Rfam family: Bacterial small subunit ribosomal RNA
Source: RNAcentral
GUAGGGUGCAAGCGUUAAUCGGAAUUACUGGGCGUAAAGCGUGCGCAGGCGGUUUUGUAAGUCUGAUGUGAAAUCCCCGGGCUCAACCUGGGAAUUGCAUUGGAGACUGCAAGGCUAGAAUCUGGCAGAGGGGGGUAGAAUUCCACGUGUAGCAGUGAAAUGCGUAGAUAUGUGGAGGAACACCGAUGGCGAAGGCAGCCCCCUGGGUCAAGAUUGACGCUCAUGCACGAAAGCGUGGGGAGCAAACAGGAUUAGAUACCCUGGUAGUCCACGCCCUAAACGAUGUCUACUAGUUGUCGGGUCUUAAUUGACUUGGUAACGCAGCUAACGCGUGAAGUAGACCGCCUGGGGAGUACGGUCGCAAGAUUAAAACUCAAAGGAAUUGACGGGGACCCGCACAAGCGGUGGAUGAUGUGGAUUAAUUCGAA